CCGGGGCAUUUUUCAGAGAUGUUUUCCUCCUUUCGGGACCUAUGACACAGGUGUGCAGACUCUCUUCACAUCGUGUGGUGUGAUAUUUGGGGUAUAAUCCCCCCAAGCGCGCCACCCUUUUUUUUUUCUCUGCACGAUUUGGUGGGGACCCCUAAGGGGACUGCCGGGGAAAAACCGGAGGAAGGUGGGGAUUCCUCAAAUUCAUCAUCGCCCUUUUGACUGGGGCUACCCACCUGCUACAAUGGAAGGACCAAAGAGAAGCCAGCUCGGGGGGGGAAACAAACCCACAAAACCCGGCCCUAGUCCGGAUCGGACUCUCCAACUGGACUCCAGGAAGCCGGAAUGGUAAGAAAUGGUGGUAUCA
RNAcentral lists this ribosomal RNA (364 nucleotides) under Pantoea sp. TU34. RNAcentral describes it as "partial 16S ribosomal RNA". It matches the Rfam family "Bacterial small subunit ribosomal RNA", at positions 989 to 1351 of the family's 1533-position model. The record is from RNAcentral. Lineage: Bacteria; Pseudomonadati; Pseudomonadota; Gammaproteobacteria; Enterobacterales; Erwiniaceae.